GACGAACGCUGGCGGCGUGCUUAACACAUGCAAGUCGAACGAUGAAGCUAGAGCUUGCUCUGGUGGAUUAGUGGCGAACGGGUGAGUAACACGUGAGUAACCUGCCCCGAACUCUGGGAUAACUGCUGGAAACGGUAGCUAAUACCGGAUAUGACCAAUGAAGGCAUCUUCUGUUGGUGGAAAGAAUUUCGGUUCGGGAUGGACUCGCGGCCUAUCAGCUUGUUGGUGAGGUAACGGCUCACCAAGGCGACGACGGGUAGCCGGCCUGAGAGGGUGAUCGGCCACACUGGGACUGAGACACGGCCCAGACUCCUACGGGAGGCAGCAGUGGGGAAUAUUGGACAAUGGGCGCAAGCCUGAUCCAGCCAUGCCGCGUGAGUGAUGAAGGCCUUAGGGUUGUGAACCUCUUUUAGUAGGGAAGAAGCGAAAGUGACGGUACCUGCAGAAAAAGCACCGGCUAACUACGUGCCAGCAGCCGCCGUAA
This 484-nucleotide ribosomal RNA is filed under the name uncultured bacterium. RNAcentral describes it as "partial 16S ribosomal RNA". It matches the Rfam family "Bacterial small subunit ribosomal RNA", at positions 28 to 523 of the family's 1533-position model. The record is from RNAcentral.